UACGUAGGGUGCAAGCGUUAUCCGGAAUCACUGGGCGUAAAGCGUGCGUAGGUGGCGUGUUAAGUGUGAUGUUAAAUCGCGGGGCUCAACCCUGUCGGUGCAUCGCAUACUGGCAUGCUAGAGGGAAGCAGAGGCAAGUGGAAUUUGUAGUGUAGCAGUGAAAUGCGUAGAUAUUACAAGGAACACCAAUGGCGAAGGCAGCUUGCUGGGCUUCUUCUGACACUGAGGUACGAAAGCGUGGGGAGCGAACAGG
This 253-nucleotide ribosomal RNA is filed under the name uncultured bacterium. Its description in RNAcentral is "partial 16S ribosomal RNA". It matches the Rfam family "Bacterial small subunit ribosomal RNA", at positions 524 to 776 of the family's 1533-position model. The record is from RNAcentral.